This 158-nucleotide non-coding RNA is filed under the name Bradyrhizobium elkanii. RNAcentral's name for it is "TPP sequence". It matches the Rfam family "TPP riboswitch aptamer (THI element)". Rfam says of the family: Vitamin B(1) in its active form thiamin pyrophosphate (TPP) is an essential coenzyme that is synthesised by coupling of pyrimidine and thiazole moieties in bacteria. The previously detected thiamin-regulatory element, thi box was extended, resulting in a new, highly conserved RNA secondary structure, the THI element, which is widely distributed in eubacteria and also occurs in some archaea. Lineage: Bacteria; Pseudomonadati; Pseudomonadota; Alphaproteobacteria; Hyphomicrobiales; Nitrobacteraceae. The record is from RNAcentral.
AGGCGUUCCGAGGGGUGCUCCGAAGGAGGAGCUGAGAUACCGCAAGCUUGGACUUCGCCACUUUGUCAUCGACGAAGUUGCGAACAGUCCGGGACCGCGGUGACCCUUUGAACCUGAUCCGGGUCAUGCCGGCGAAGGGACAGGGAUGUAUCAGACGU